This is a microRNA precursor of Pelodiscus sinensis (Chinese soft-shelled turtle), 79 nucleotides long. Lineage: Eukaryota; Metazoa; Chordata; Testudines; Trionychidae. The record is from Ensembl.
CUGAGGCCCGAUUCAAGGCCCAUUGAAGUUAAUGACAGUCUUUCAAUUGACUUCAGUGAGCUUUGGAUCAGGCUCAGAA